CGAGCGGACAGAUGGGAGCUUGCUCCCUGAUGUUAGCGGCGGACGGGUGAGUAACACGUGGGUAACCUGCCUGUAAGACUGGGAUAACUCCGGGAAACCGGGGCUAAUACCGGAUGGUUGUUUGAACCGCAUGGUUCAAACAUAAAAGGUGGCUUCGGCUACCACUUACAGAUGGACCCGCGGCGCAUUAGCUAGUUGGUGAGGUAACGGCUCACCAAGGCAACGAUGCGUAGCCGACCUGAGAGGGUGAUCGGCCACACUGGGACUGAGACACGGCCCAGACUCCUACGGGAGGCAGCAGUAGGGAAUCUUCCGCAAUGGACGAAAGUCUGACGGAGCAACGCCGCGUGAGUGAUGAAGGUUUUCGGAUCGUAAAGCUCUGUUGUUAGGGAAGAACAAGUACCGUUCGAAUAGGGCGGUACCUUGACGGUACCUAACCAGAAAGCCACGGCUAACUACGUGCCAGCAGCCGCGGUAAUACGUAGGUGGCAAGCGUUGUCCGGAAUUAUUGGGCGUAAAGGGCUCGCAGGCGGUUUCUUAAGUCUGAUGUGAAAGCCCCCGGCUCAACCGGGGAGGGUCAUUGGAAACUGGGGAACUUGAGUGCAGAAGAGGAGAGUGGAAUUCCACGUGUAGCGGUGAAAUGCGUAGAGAUGUGGAGGAACACCAGUGGCGAAGGCGACUCUCUGGUCUGUAACUGACGC
This 701-nucleotide ribosomal RNA is filed under the name Bacillus sp. (in: firmicutes). Its description in RNAcentral is "bacterial SSU rRNA". It matches the Rfam family "Bacterial small subunit ribosomal RNA", at positions 63 to 746 of the family's 1533-position model. The record is from RNAcentral. Lineage: Bacteria; Bacillati; Bacillota; Bacilli; Caryophanales; Bacillaceae. RNAcentral also lists the same sequence under 1 other name.